RNAcentral lists this long non-coding RNA (1027 nucleotides) under Struthio camelus australis. Its description in RNAcentral is "lncRNA (ENSSCUG00000017040.1)". The record is from RNAcentral. Lineage: Eukaryota; Metazoa; Chordata; Aves; Struthioniformes; Struthionidae.
UGAUUCAUUAGGGAGCAGGAGUCGCCCCUGCCUGGAAGAAAGCCUAAUUUGGACAGUUCUUUCCUCGCUAAUUUGGCAAAAGCUAAAACCUUCUGCUUGGAGCUUGAUGACAUCAUAAAGCGCCACAAGAAAGAGCAAACCAAUGCCCAAGCGGCCGGGAACAGGCGGAGGCAGCAGAUCAAGAACAGGAGUUCGGCGUACUGGUAUGGGCGGCCCCGCUUCCGCACCUGGAUGCAGAGGAAUUUGCAAGGACCUAACCGCUUUAGAAGAGGCUUUGGACAACAACAGUACAAUAGGAGGCAAUUCAGGAAUGCUGCGCCCGGUCCCAGGAGAAGAGCAGCUGCUGCAUUAAAUGGAGUGAGCCCCUUAAAUCGCCAGGCAUCUGCUCAAGAGGGUAGCAAGAGCGACGACGUUUUUGCCAAAAGCGGUAGCAGCGGGCAGCCGGAGGCGCGGAGACGGCCACCGCCGGGCCUCAAGAGAUUCAGAGCAGCAGCUGCCAACACCCACGCCGCAGUGGGAAGCAGGCCUUUCGUGCUGAACAGGGGACCAGGCUUCCAGCAGAAGCGGAUGCAGCAGCGCUACUCCAAAGCCAACUUCCAGAGAGGGCAAAUGGAUGCAGUUGGAGAAGGGAAACAACCAAGGAUGAGAAGGUGGCAAGUGAAACCCAGCCCCGGAGCAGUCCUGACGGUUUCUGUGGCUAAUCCCCAGGCGAGCCAGACCAGCGCGCCCGGAGGCAAGCGGCCCUUCCUGAGGAGCCCCAGGCCCCCGCCGCAGGUGGCCAAGCCCCAGCCCAAGGGAGUGCUGCUGAGGUUCAACUUCCGCGCGAUGGCGAACCAGACCAGCCUGACGCUGGAUGAGAGAUUCUCUGGUCUGAGGAAUAAGCGGCGCUUUGCAGCGGCCAGGAGCGCUGGCCGGACGGUCACCAUGCCAUAGCGCCGCCCGCUCGGCGCGGGGACUGCCGGCAGCGGCCCGGCCCCGUCACGGGCAGCUCAAUAAAACUCGAUCCAUAGAUUUCCUCCGAGAUAGC